This is a long non-coding RNA of Passer domesticus (house sparrow), 662 nucleotides long. RefSeq lists it as uncharacterized. The record is from RefSeq and is a predicted model, not a curated record. The transcript has 4 exons. Lineage: Eukaryota; Metazoa; Chordata; Aves; Passeriformes; Passeridae.
CCCACAAGCAGGCUUCCAGGUUCAGGUUGCGGUAGAAGCGCAAGGUCUUGAAGCCUCUAAUUGUUGGGCUGUACUGAUAGGGAAUGGUCUCUCCAAUCACAUCUGGAUUCUUGGUAGCAUCAGUUAAAAAACCAUGGUAUCCAAAAGACAUGGAGAAUUAGGAGAAAGGAAAAAUUUUUCUUUAUACAAUGCUUUACUGUGUCAAGACAGUUUUUUCACCGCCUCUAUGAACAACAGAAGAAAAGCUGAUGUGGUAAUGUUAAAACGCCUGAUCAUGUAACCAGCUUUUGUUAGGACUGAAUUUGGGAUCCAAAAGAGACCUGUGAAUCUUGCAGUAGAACCAUUCAACUUGUGACAUUCCUGUGCAAAAGCAAUGUGUGAAAAACAAAUUGAAGACGGACAAAACAUUCUUCAAGAGAUACUCACUGUGAUACAGAUGACAGGAUAGCCAGCAAUGGGACUGCUUCUGUCUUUGGCUUUAGAAGUAUCAUCAUAUAUCAACAGAGAUGCAACUUGAGGGACAGAGGGAAAGGUGACAUCUGCCAUGCUGUUCAUUUCUUCGAUGUAAACAAUGGCCUUGGCUGUCUGACAAUGAAAAGGACAGAGACAGUUCUCUGUGAAAAUUUAAAUAAACAAGCUGGAGUUUUGGAACUCGAUCAGAA